AGGUUAAGUUAGGAAGGGCGCAUGGUGAAUGCCUUGGUACUAGGAGCCGAUGAAGGACGGGACUAACACCGAUAUGCCUCGGGGAGCUGUAAGUAAGCUUUGAUCCGGGGAUUUCCGAAUGGGGCAACCCAAUAGUUUUAAUCGACUAUUAUCCGCAUCUGAAUACAUAGGAUGUGUGAAGGUAAACGUGGGGAACUGAAACAUCUCAGUACCCGCAGGAACAGAAAGAAAAUUCGAUUCCCUGAGUAGCGGCGAGCGAAACGGGAAGAGCCCAAACCAGGAAGCUUGCUUCCUGGGGUUGUAGGACUGAACAUUUGAGUUACCAAAGAACUUGAUAGCUGAAGAAUCUGGGAAGAUUCGCCAGAGAGGGUGAUAGCCCCGUAAGUUAAAUCAAGUUCUCUCAGUUCAGGAUCCUGAGUACGGCGGAGCACGUGAAAUUCCGUCGGAAUCCGGGAGGACCAUCUCCCAAGGCUAAAUACUACCUAGUGACCGAUAGUGAACCAGUACCGUGAGGGAAAGGUGAAAGCAAAGGGUAAUGGCGUGCCUUUUGUAGAAUGAACCGGCGAGUUACGUUCGUAUGCCAGGUUAAGUUGAAGAGACGGAGCCGAAGCGAAAGCGAGUCUGAAUAGGGCGAUAUAAGUAUGCGGAUGUAGACCCGAAACCAAGUGACCUACCCAUGUCCAGGUUGAAGGUGCAGUAAAAUGCACUGGAGGACCGAACUCGUGUACGUUGAAAAGUGCUGAGAUGAGGUGUGGGUAGCGGUGAAAUUCCAAACGAACUUGGAGAUAGCUGGUUCUCUCCGAAAUAGCUUUAGGGCUAGCCUCGGAAUUAGGAUCGUGGAGGUAGAGCCACUGUUUGGACUAGGGGCCCAUCAAGGGUUACCGAAUUCAGAUAAACUCCGAAUGCCAUCGAUUUAUGUCCGGGAGUCAGACGGUGAGUGAUAAGAUCCAUCGUCGAAAGGGGAACAGCCCAGACCACCAGUUAAGGUCCCUAAAUAUAUGUUAAGUGGAAAAGGAUGUGGAGUUGCAUAGACAACUAGGAUGUUGGCUCAGAAGCAGCCACCAUUUAAAGAGUGCGUAAUAGCUCACUAGUCGAGUGAUUCUGCGCCGAAAAUGUACCGGGGCUUAAACAUAUUACCGAGACUGUGGAUGCCACCAUUAGGUGGCGUGAUAGGAGAGCGUUCUAAGGGCAAUGAAGGCAGACCGUGAGGACUGUUGGAGCGCUUAGAAGUGAGAAUGCCGGUAUGAGUAGCGAAAGAUAGGUGAGAAUCCUAUCCACCGUAUGACUAAGGUUUCCUGGGAAGGCUCGUCCUCCCAGGGUUAGUCGGGACCUAAGCCGAGGCCGAGAGGCGUAGGCGAUGGAUAACAGGUUGAUAUUCCUGUACUAGUUAAACUUGUUUGAACAAUGGAGGGACGCAGUAGGCUAAGGAAAGCACCCAGCUGGAAAAGGGUGUCCAAGCAGUAAGUCUGAAGUAGAGUCAAAUGCUUUACUUCUUAAGGACAAGCUGUGAUGGGGAGCGAAAUUUAAGUAGCGAAGUUCCUGACGUCACACUGCCGAGAAAAGCUUCUAGUUAGAGUUUAGCUACCCGUACCGCAAACCGACACAGGUAGUCGAGGAGAGUAUCCUAAGGUGAGCGAGAGAACUCUCGUUAAGGAACUCGGCAAAAUGACCCCGUAACUUCGGGAGAAGGGUGCUGAUCGCAAGAUCAGCCGCAGUGAAAAGGCCCAGGCGACUGUUUAUCAAAAACACAGGUUUCUGCAAAAUCGUAAGAUGACGUAUAGGGGCUGACGCCUGCCCGGUGCUGGAAGGUUAAGGGAAUGAGUUAGCGUAAGCGAAGCUCUGAACUGAAGCCCCAGUAAACGGCGGCCGUAACUAUAACGGUCCUAAGGUAGCGAAAUUCCUUGUCGGGUAAGUUCCGACCCGCACGAAAGGCGUAACGAUCUGGGCACUGUCUCAACGAGAGACUCGGUGAAAUUAUAAUACCCGUGAAGAUGCGGGUUACCCGCGACAGGACGGAAAGACCCCAUGGAGCUUUACUGUAACUUGAUAUUGAGUGUUUGUACAGCUUGUACAGGAUAGGUAGGAGCCGUAGAAUCCGGAACGCUAGUUUCGGAGGAGGCAAUGGUGGGAUACUACCCUCGUUGUAUGAACCCUCUAACCCGCGCCACUAAUCGUGGCGGGAGACAGUGUCUGGUGGGCAGUUUGACUGGGGCGGUCGCCUCCUAAAGAGUAACGGAGGCGCCCAAAGGUUCCCUCAGAAUGGUUGGAAAUCAUUCGUAGAGUGUAAAGGCAGAAGGGAGCUUGACUGCGAGACAGACAGGUCGAGCAGGGACGAAAGUCGGGCUUAGUGAUCCGGUGGUACCGUAUGGAAGGGCCAUCGCUCAACGGAUAAAAGCUACCCUGGGGAUAACAGGCUUAUCUCCCCCAAGAGUUCACAUCGACGGGGAGGUUUGGCACCUCGAUGUCGGCUCAUCGCAUCCUGGGGCUGUAGUCGGUCCCAAGGGUUGGGCUGUUCGCCCAUUAAAGCGGUACGCGAGCUGGGUUCAGAACGUCGUGAGACAGUUCGGUCCCUAUCCGUCGCGGGCGUAGGAAAUUUGAGAGGCGCUGUCCUUAGUACGAGAGGACCGGGAUGGACACACCGCUGGUGUACCAGUUGUUCCGCCAGGAGCAUCGCUGGGUAGCUAUGUGUGGAUGAGAUAAACGCUGAAAGCAUCUAAGUGUGAAACUCACCUCGAGAUUAGAUUUCCCAUUGCCUUCGGGCAAGUAAGACCCCUGAAAGAUGAUCAGGUAGAUAGGCUAGAAGUGGAAGUGUAGUGAUACAUGGAGCGGACUAGUACUAAUCGGUCGAGGACUUAACCAAG
Molecule: ribosomal RNA, 2861 nt
Filed under: Pediococcus pentosaceus
Lineage: Bacteria; Bacillati; Bacillota; Bacilli; Lactobacillales; Lactobacillaceae
Description: 23S ribosomal RNA
Rfam family: Bacterial large subunit ribosomal RNA
Source: RNAcentral